Molecule: ribosomal RNA, 253 nt
Filed under: uncultured bacterium
Lineage: Bacteria
Description: partial 16S ribosomal RNA
Rfam family: Bacterial small subunit ribosomal RNA
Source: RNAcentral
UACGGGGGGAGCAAGCGUUGUUCGGAUUUACUGGGCGUAAAGCGUGCGCAGGCGGUUCGUUGUGUCUGAUGUGAAAGCCCCGGGCUUAACCUGGGAAUGGCAUUGGAAACUGGCGAGCUGGAGUGUGGCAGAGGGGGGUGGAAUUCCGCGUGUAGCAGUGAAAUGCGUAGAGAUGCGGAGGAACACCGAUGGCGAAGGCAGCCCCCUGGGCCAACACUGACGCUCAUGCACGAAAGCGUGGGGAGCAAACAGG